AAAAUAUCAGCCUUAUGUACCAGCCUGAAGAAAUCUUCUCGAGCUAAAUAUGCUAAAAGCAGACCACUAGUGGCCACUGAAAAGAAAAAGUACAACCCUCUUGAAAUUGAGGAGUCCAACACCGCCAUACUUGACAAUUUGAGCAUUGCACUUCGUGGUGUUGUCCCCGAGGCCUGUUUAUUCAAAGGUUUACCUCGGACUGGUGAUGUUCCAACUUCAGCUCAGGAAGCAGAGGGAGCCGUAGGAUUAAACGAAGAAGAUACAGGCCAUG
Molecule: long non-coding RNA, 271 nt
Organism: Saccostrea cuccullata (small rock oyster)
Lineage: Eukaryota; Metazoa; Mollusca; Bivalvia; Ostreida; Ostreidae
Exons: 3
Source: RefSeq, a predicted model, not a curated record